This 327-nucleotide ribosomal RNA is filed under the name uncultured eukaryote. RNAcentral's name for it is "partial 18S ribosomal RNA". It matches the Rfam family "Eukaryotic small subunit ribosomal RNA", at positions 1470 to 1796 of the family's 1831-position model. The record is from RNAcentral.
CCCUUAGAUGUUCUGGGCCGCACGCGCGCUACACUGAUGCAUGCAACAAGUCUUUUCCUUGGCCGAGAGGCCUGGGCAAUCUUUGAAUAUGCAUCGUGAUGGGGAUAGACGAUUGCAAUUAUUCGUCUUCAACGAGGAAUUCCUAGUAAACGCAAGUCAUCAGCUUGCAUUGAUUACGUCCCUGCCCUUUGUACGCACCGCCCGUCGCACCUACCGAUUGAAUGGUCCGGUGAAGGCUCCGGAGGCGUCUUUCUCAAUGUUUAUUCGGCGAGAUUGGUGCCAAAGUUGAAUGAACCUUACCAUUUAGAGGAAGGUGAAGUCGUAACA